AGCACAUCUAUGCAGUUUCUGCAGUGUGUCAAACAGCAGAAGGGAUAAGGAAGCGUAAGAAGCAGUCCUAUUCUUUCCUCCAUACCCUGAAAAUGGCUCCAAAAUAUUAUUAUUUGUGAGAAGGAAGAUUUUUAACAACAAUUUAUGCAUUUCUCAUUUUAGAUUUUGCCUUUUCCAUUUCAGGAGGCAAUGCUUUUAUAUGGAGUUUGAACAGAACCCCACCUUUACUAGACAGAGAAAUCCUAAGGUUUAUGGAACAUUUCUCUGUUCACUGAAAGAUCUAGCAAUGCUUGAUCUAUCCUGUGCAUCAACCAUUUAUACCUGGGUUUAGCUGGAGUGCAUGAAAAAUUGAUUCUACUGGAAUUGUACUGGUUGAAUUGAGUCUAUGUUUAAAACUACCUACAUGUACAUAUAACUGGGCUGGCUAGUUUGAGACCCCAGCUUGCAUCUUUAAUUGCUCAGUUAGGGCCAUCCUAAGGAUCGUUCUGGGAUAUUUAAAAAUACAAAGGAAACAUUUACUUACUGAUCAUUUUUUCCACCAACGCCAGCUUGGAGCUAGGAUUGCAGCUAUGAAGUGUUUUGACACAAGCUGCUUUGGUCUCUAGGGAGGAUAGAUAUAGGUAUAUCCUCUCUAAAGGAUAGACACAGUCCUGCAAAAGAAACAGACAGCUUCUGCUCCCUUCCUUGUUUAUGGGGACAUCUGGAAUCUCUCUGAGUUUUAUCAGAUUAAAUGCACCUCAAGGCCCUUCCUGAGCUAAUGGCCUUCAGCAGGUUACUCAGGAAAAGACAAGGAACCUAAAUAUGGAGAGAGUUCUGUCUUGGCCCUUAGAAGUUUCCUCUUCACUCAGCUCAGGUGAUUCUACACAGAAUGUGACAAAAUGAGGGGAAAAAUAGGCAAAAAUCUUCAAAGAGAUCACAUGCUCUCUCAAGUGUUUUGUCAUGCUCUUCUGUAGGGAUACAUGCCCAGCAACUUCCUUCUCAUCUGUCACCCCAAGGCCAUCCACCUCAAGACACAGGUUCUCAACAUCUUUUUUUACUGUCAACCUGGAUGUCCCUUCUGGAAUUUGGAGCUUCUGGAUAUUCUGGAAGUGGUGCAGGCUGGUCGUGGCACAGGAGAGGUGCACGCACAACACCGUCUGCACUGCUUCUAGGGCAACAUUACCCCUUUUGUCAUUGCAAAUUCACAAACAGACAGUUGCUGGGCACCAAGUUUGGAAGAGGAAGUGCUUUGUCUUUCGAUUAAAAAUAUCCAAACAGCUCCGUGGAGUCAUGAUCUGAGAAACCAAAACAAGUCCUUAACCAUAGAUAAAUGAAGGUUGGCUGAUUCCAGUUUGCAGAAAGCCAGAGGAAGCCCUCUGCUCUGACCCCGCGCCCUCUAGCAUCACAGCUGGUGCACGAGCACAAAGACAACUUGGAUGUAGAUGCUGCUGUGGGCACUUUACACAGGAUAGAUUGUAAAUUUGUCCAUUUAUGAGUGUCCUGCGGGGGUUCCCACCAACUCAGAAGACAAAGCAAGGGUUGAAGCAAACAAAGAAUAUCCAUAAAAGCUCCUCUGAUUGCCACUAUUAAUAAAAUGGAGGCCAUAAACA
Molecule: long non-coding RNA, 1589 nt
Filed under: Anas platyrhynchos platyrhynchos (common mallard)
Lineage: Eukaryota; Metazoa; Chordata; Aves; Anseriformes; Anatidae
Description: lncRNA (ENSAPLG00000016766.1)
Source: RNAcentral